Molecule: long non-coding RNA, 632 nt
Organism: Harpia harpyja (harpy eagle)
Lineage: Eukaryota; Metazoa; Chordata; Aves; Accipitriformes; Accipitridae
Exons: 3
Source: RefSeq, a predicted model, not a curated record
GCAAAAUCUGAAAUUGGUGAUGGAUCGUUAUCUGCUGGGCUGCAAGGAGAAAGCUCCGUGUGUAACCCUAUCAGACAUGAUGAGGCUUGCGCCAGUGACAACCACAAGAAGAGUUGUCUGCUUGUAUGGUUUCAGAAGGCUGUCUGUCUACACUGAGAAGAAGGAUUCAGGGGUGCCACAACUCCUUUGAAACAUAAAGCAAUGAUGUGGCAUUCAGCGCAGCUAUCAACUGGGGAGCCCAAAUGUGCCAUCUGCUAUGUUAGAAGGCAACAGAAGAAGGAAACAACAACUCAUCUGUGGAAAGCUGCUCCCAUACGGAGCAAAGGAGGAGCGAAGGGCAGUUCGUUUCCAUCCCCAGGUGCUGUUUUGUGCUCCUCAGAGCCAAUGGAGCACAGGACCAGUCGCUGCUGACCGACGGGGUGUUUGAGCAGUUGGGGCCCACUGCCGGCGAGCAGGGUUCGCUGGAGCUGUGUCCGUGUUUGCUUUCCAGGUUGCCUUCCCUGUGCUGUGCUGCAGCAUGCGAUGCCUUCAGCCAUGGUUCAGCUGCUGAGGAAAGCUGGAGGAGUACUGCAGUCCACAGCCCCAACUGGACCAGCAAGGUCAGAAGGAGAGAGGCAGAGAAACAGAGACAG